UACGGAGGUGGCGAGCGUUGUCCGGAUUUACUGGGCGUAAAGGGAGCGUAGGCGGACUUUUAAGUGAGAUGUGAAAUACUCGGGCUCAACUUGAGUGCUGCAUUUCAAACUGGAAGUCUAGAGUGCAGGAGAGGAGAAUGGAAUUCCUAGUGUAGCGGUGAAAUGCGUAGAGAUUAGGAAGAACACCAGUGGCGAAGGCGAUUCUCUGGACUGUGACUGACGCUGAGGCUCGAAAGCGUGGGGAGCAAACAGG
RNAcentral lists this ribosomal RNA (253 nucleotides) under uncultured bacterium. RNAcentral's name for it is "partial 16S ribosomal RNA". It matches the Rfam family "Bacterial small subunit ribosomal RNA", at positions 524 to 776 of the family's 1533-position model. The record is from RNAcentral.